UACGGGGGGGGGCAAGCGUUGUUCGGAAUUACUGGGCGUAAAGGGCUCGUAGGUGGCCAACUAAGUCACACGUGAAAUCCCUCGGCUUAACCGGGGGAACUGCGUUUGAUACUGGAUGGCUUGAGUUUGGGAGAGGGAUGCGGAAUUCCAGGUGUAGCGGUGAAAUGCGUAGAUAUCUGGAGGAACACCGGUGGCGAAGGCGGCUACCUGGACCAGCAUUGACACUCAAGCACGAAAGCGUGGGGAGCAAACAGGG
This 256-nucleotide ribosomal RNA is filed under the name uncultured bacterium. Its description in RNAcentral is "partial 16S ribosomal RNA". It matches the Rfam family "Bacterial small subunit ribosomal RNA", at positions 524 to 777 of the family's 1533-position model. The record is from RNAcentral.